This 450-nucleotide ribosomal RNA is filed under the name uncultured Glomus. RNAcentral's name for it is "SSU rRNA". It matches the Rfam family "Eukaryotic small subunit ribosomal RNA", at positions 569 to 1024 of the family's 1831-position model. Lineage: Eukaryota; Fungi; Glomeromycota; Glomeromycetes; Glomerales; Glomeraceae. The record is from RNAcentral.
AGCAGCCGCGGUAAUUCCAGCUCCAAUAGCGUAUAUUAAAGUUGUUGCAGUUAAAAAGCUCGUAGUUGAAUUUCGGGGUCAGUAGGUCGGUCGUGCCACUGGUAUGAACUGGUCUCACUGAUUCCUCCUUCUUGAAGAACCGUAAUGUCAUUAACUUGGUGUUGCGGGGAAACAGGACUGUUACCUUGAAAAAUUAGAGUGUUUAAAGCAGGCUAGCGCCUGAAUACAUUAGCAUGGAAUAAUGAAAUAGGACGUUCGAUCCUAUUUUGUUGGUUUCUAGGAUUGACGUAAUGAUUAAUAGGGAUAGUUGGGGGCAUUAGUAUUCAGUUGUCAGAGGUGAAAUUCUUGGAUUUAUUGAAGACUAACUACUGCGAAAGCAUUUGCCAAGGAUGUUUUCAUUAAUCAAGAACGAAAGUUAGGGGAUCGAAGACGAUCAGAUACCGUCGUAGU